This is a long non-coding RNA of Cotesia glomerata, 510 nucleotides long. RefSeq lists it as uncharacterized. Lineage: Eukaryota; Metazoa; Arthropoda; Insecta; Hymenoptera; Braconidae. The transcript has 3 exons. The record is from RefSeq and is a predicted model, not a curated record.
AAAGUUGCCUCUGAAAUGCGCCGUGUCAACCUCGAUAGUGUCUACAGUUCCGACGUAACCGAGCCUGAAUAUCGCCCAUUCACUUCCAGAAAACUGCAAUUUAUAUUAUUGGAAUUUUCUUCUUUGAAAAAAUAAUUUCCAAGCUUAAAAAAUUUUAUUAAAAAUUUCAAAAAUCAAUAUUAAUAAAUUGUGAGAAAAUAACAGAUAGAAGCUUGAAGUAAUACUAAGUCAAUGAAGAUAAUUACCAGACGUUAUAAGUAGCUUAUCGCUAGACAUAUUUAUACUUAUCAAAUCAAGCAAAUAAUUAUAAUCAACAAUAAAACUAUAAUAAUAAUCAAUAUUGAAUAUUUACUCAAAACAAAGAGUCUAAAAAUUGAGUUUAAACUGGAUUCAGAAGUAAUCAUAAUAAAUGUAGCCGGUUUUUUUCCAUCACGCGUGCUGUUCAAUUUAUCAUCUAAGUCCACGCGAAUUUUGGCUGAUGCGUGAAACUCUCUAGCACGCGUAGCGUCU